UGGGCGCAAGCCUGAUGCAGCGACGCCGCGUGAGGGAUGACGGCCUUCGGGUUGUAAACCUCUUUCAGCAGGGACGAAGCGCAAGUGACGGUACCUGCAGAAGAAGCACCGGCCAACUACGUGCCAGCAGCCGCGGUAAUACGUAGGGUGCGAGCGUUGUCCGGAAUUACUGGGCGUAAAGAGCUCGUAGGUGGUUUGUCGCGUUGUUCGUGAAAACUCACAGCUUAACUGUGGGCGUGCGGGCGAUACGGGCAGACUGGAGUACUGCAGGGGAGACUGGAAUUCCUGGUGUAGCGGUGGAAUGCGCAGAUAUCAGGAGGAACACCGGUGGCGAAGGCGGGUCUCUGGGCAGUAACUGACGCUGAGGAGCGAAAGCGUGGGGAGCGAACAGGAUUAGAUACCCUGGUAGUCCACGCCGUAAACGGUGGGUACUAGGUGUGGGUUUCCUUCCUUGGGAUCCGUGCCGUAGCUAACGCAUUAAGUACCCCGCCUGGGGAGUACGGCCGCAAGGCUA
This 514-nucleotide ribosomal RNA is filed under the name uncultured Actinomycetes bacterium. RNAcentral's name for it is "bacterial SSU rRNA". It matches the Rfam family "Bacterial small subunit ribosomal RNA", at positions 372 to 896 of the family's 1533-position model. Lineage: Bacteria; Bacillati; Actinomycetota; Actinomycetes. The record is from RNAcentral.